This is a long non-coding RNA of Rosa rugosa (rugosa rose), 2911 nucleotides long. RefSeq lists it as uncharacterized. The record is from RefSeq and is a predicted model, not a curated record. The transcript is spliced from 8 exons. Lineage: Eukaryota; Viridiplantae; Streptophyta; Magnoliopsida; Rosales; Rosaceae.
CAUUUUUCAAGUCUGAGAGCAAAACCCCGAGCCUUCCAUCUCUCACUCCCACUUUGGCCUUAGAGAGUUUCAGCUAAAAAACUUCAACACUUUGUCAAAACAGCCGAUUCCUCAACUCGCUUUCUUCGAGCAUCUCUCUUCUCAACAUCAUCAAAAACCAUCGAUCUUUCUUCUUCUCUUAAAGAAUCGAACCCAUUAUUCUUCUCGAAACCCAUCUUCUUCUUAAAACCCAUCUUCUGAAAACACUCGAUUAGGGUUCGAUAUACUCAAUUAGGGUUUUCAAUUUGGGGAUUUGAAGGAGGAGGGAGCGGGGUGGUUUCUCGGGUUUCUUCAAUCAUUGAAACCCUAACUCGUUCUCUCCAACUCAUUCGCGACCCCUCAUACUCCACCGUACUCUGAAGCUUUUCUCUGACCUGGUGUCGCGACAGCCCACCUCUCUGGCCUCGCCUUCGCCUUUGCCUUCGUUCACUCCAAUUCAGUGAGUGACCUUUCAGAGAUAGAUUCAGACUCUCCACUAUUUCUAUAGCCAAAGCCGAAGCGAAGAGAAGCAGCUUUUUUGGGCUAUGGAGCCUCGCGUAGGGGGACGAUUCCGAGUCGGCCGGAAGAACAGUAGUGGAUCCUUUGGAGAGAUCUACUUAGAAGAAUCUGAGGGAGGGAAAGGCGAUAGAGGCUGCUAGGUCGUUGGGAUCAAGAGAACAGAAGGAGAGGUUGGUGCGGGUUUUGUUUCGAUACGUAGUGGGUUGUUGUUUGUGUGGAUUUUGAAAGGUUUAACAUCGACGGAAGGUAUUGUAUAAGGUUCUAUGCGAAAAAGUAUCUGGAUUGUUUUUCUGCCACUGUGUUCCUGUUUUUGUUCUUUGAUAUUGGUUCGUUGUUCUGUAUUCAUUUAGGUAUGGAAUCUUUGUAUUAUUACUGAUGUUUGUUAUUAGCAUUGGUUUAAAUUAAUUACAAUUCUAAGGAGUGAGUAUAUUUAGGGGAUGAUUUGUUGUCAAUGUAUACAGUACGUAACCAACCAUGCGUCAUUUGGGAUGUACUGAUGAUAAUGAUUGGAUGCCAUGAGAAAGUCUGCACUUGCAUUUAGAUUAUGGUUUAGAUGUGUUUAUUAUAUGACAUCUGGGUGGUAGGCAAGAAACAGAUAUAUGAGGAAAAAAUAACCACUAUAAUUUAGAAGUUAAGGCUUAAUGUAAUGUGUUUUUAAUAAGAUAGAAAUUUAACUAAUGUUUUCUUUGGCCUUUGCUUAUUUUGUCAUGAACGAUACCUCUAAAUUGAGGAAAGUAGGAGCAAUGGUUGUGUUCAGCACUUGCAGGGUUUAGUUUUUGUUUACUCAUGUUCAUAUAUUCGGUUUGGAAUGAAGUAUUUUUCUAACUUUCUUUGUUUUUCUGGUGGGUUGUGGGUCUUGCCGAGAUGGUUAUGUAUGUAAUAGAACUUGGUAGCUGCAAGUGUGUUUGGGUAGUAUUAGAGAUAUACUGAUUUGAUAAUGAGGUUUUUGUACUGGUGUUAAUCUCACUGCCACCCCCCUUAUCAUAUCCAUCACAGAAAGUAGUUUCUGUGAGGGAGAAGGAGAGCCCCUUUGAGUGAGAGUGAGAGAGAGAGAGAGAGAUUUUCAUAUAUUGUUGUUUUUCACCAUGAAUUGAUAAAGCUGUGGCCUACCCUCAUGUGAUUGAGAAUUAUGUAGUAUAUUACUGUGUACUGGUUUAUUUCUGGUCUGAUUCAUUCAAUUUUGACUUGAGAUGGCUUGUUUUCAAGAUUCUGUCAGUGUUUUGCUUCAAAAGGCAGCUAUUUUGUCUAAAGGUUAUUCACUUAUUCAUGCCAUCUUUUAUUGAAGGUGGUAAUGGACCCAACUUUCUAUGCUUAACGAUAUGGUAGAUUGAAGCAGGUUGGGAAGUGAAAAGUGAAAUCAGAAAGAAUGAGAGUAAGAACAUAGGGAAGCUUGUUACCAUGUCGAUCUAUGUCGGGCUACUUUCAUCAACUUCCACCUAUGGUCUCCAUGAAACUGAGUAAGCAUCUGAAAAAGGAGUGAAGCAUUGGAGAAGAUUAUGGUAACCUAGUUGAUCAAGUAUUUCUUGUUUCAUUCACUUGGUUAUCGUCCUAAGUUGAUAUUUAUAUACUUCUUUUCAAUCUAUCCCAACUCCCCAUCUACAAAGGGCGCUGAAAUUUGUUCUGUUUCUAGUUGUUUAGAUAAAAAGUCUGAUGCAAAAUUUGUAAAAAGUUAUUGUUACCAAAAAUGCUUUGGUACUUAACUAUAUGGUGAAAUGCUUGUUAAAUUGACUGUGAUGUUGUAGUCUGAGCUGGUUGGAGUGAAGGGCAAUGCCUACAGGUCAGUUUUUGGCUCUGCGAUAUCCAAAUGGUGUGCAUAGUAUUAGCUCUGUGCCUUAAACUAGUGUAUCGUUUUGGAACUUUUUGUCUCUCUUUAAUUAAGUGAUAUUUUUUUUUGUAGGAACCUGAUGCAAUGUAACUUCUUUAAUUAAGGCAUAAAAAAUUUGGCAGUCAACAUAUAGCAUUGGAGGGCAGUUAUAAGGAAGAAUUUGUUCAAGGAAUUUGACAACCAUCAAUAAAGACUUCAUAAGAGACAUGUUUUGGAACAACAUGUGUAUCAGCUUGGCCGCUAUGAAUGGGCAAAGUAUGUCGUAAAGGCGUAUGUAUAGGAGCUAAAGGAAAGCGUAAGAGGAAGUAGGUUGUUGCUGAAGGAAAACAUCAUUUUUGUGCUUCUCUGCUGGUACAAUAUUCAUGCACUGUGUGGCAUGUUUUGUAACAAAUAGUUUGUAUUUGUAUAAGCUUUUGAUGUCCCAAGUAGAUGGGCAUGUAUUUGAAUGCUUUUCUUAUUUCAAUGUUGGCUUGGAUGAUUGGGAAAUCCUCCCUUUUAAAGUUUGAAUGCUUUUCUUCAAAUAGUAUGAGUUGGAUUACUCAUUUCAUA